GACGAACGCUGGCGGCGUGCUUAACACAUGCAAGUCGAACGGAAAGGCCCUGCUUUUGUGGGGUGCUCGAGUGGCGAACGGGUGAGUAACACGUGAGUAACCUGCCCUUGACUUUGGGAUAACUUCAGGAAACUGGGGCUAAUACCGGAUAGGAGCUCCUGCUGCAUGGUGGGGGUUGGAAAGUUUCGGCGGUUGGGGAUGGACUCGCGGCUUAUCAGCUUGUUGGUGGGGUAGUGGCUUACCAAGGCUUUGACGGGUAGCCGGCCUGAGAGGGUGAACGGCCACAUGGGGACUGAGGUACGGCCCAGACUCCUACGGGAGGCAGCGGUGGGAAGUAUUGCACAAUGGGCGGAAGCCUGAUGCAGCGACGCCGCGUGCGGAAUGACGGCCUUCGGGUUGUAAACCGCUUUCGCCUGUGACGAAGCGUGAGUGACGGUAAUGGAUAAAGAAGCACCGGCUAACUACGUG
RNAcentral lists this ribosomal RNA (468 nucleotides) under uncultured bacterium. Its description in RNAcentral is "partial 16S ribosomal RNA". It matches the Rfam family "Bacterial small subunit ribosomal RNA", at positions 28 to 507 of the family's 1533-position model. The record is from RNAcentral.